RNAcentral lists this ribosomal RNA (1388 nucleotides) under metagenome. RNAcentral's name for it is "bacterial SSU rRNA". It matches the Rfam family "Bacterial small subunit ribosomal RNA", at positions 8 to 1386 of the family's 1533-position model. The record is from RNAcentral.
AGAGUUUGAUCAUGGCUCAGAUUGAACGCUGGCGGCAGGCCUAACACAUGCAAGUCGAACGGUAACAGGAAGAAGCUUGCUUCUUUGCUGACGAGUGGCGGACGGGUGAGUAAUGUCUGGGAAACUGCCUGAUGGAGGGGGAUAACUACUGGAAACGGUAGCUAAUACCGCAUAACGUCGCAAGACCAAAGAGGGGGACCUUCGGGCCUCUUGCCAUCGGAUGUGCCCAGAUGGGAUUAGCUAGUAGGUGGGGUAACGGCUCACCUAGGCGACGAUCCCUAGCUGGUCUGAGAGGAUGACCAGCCACACUGGAACUGAGACACGGUCCAGACUCCUACGGGAGGCAGCAGUGGGGAAUAUUGCACAAUGGGCGCAAGCCUGAUGCAGCCAUGCCGCGUGUAUGAAGAAGGCCUUCGGGUUGUAAAGUACUUUCAGCGGGGAGGAAGGGAGUAAAGUUAAUACCUUUGCUCAUUGACGUUACCCGCAGAAGAAGCACCGGCUAACUCCGUGCCAGCAGCCGCGGUAAUACGGAGGGUGCAAGCGUUAAUCGGAAUUACUGGGCGUAAAGCGCACGCAGGCGGUUUGUUAAGUCAGAUGUGAAAUCCCCGGGCUCAACCUGGGAACUGCAUCUGAUACUGGCAAGCUUGAGUCUCGUAGAGGGGGGUAGAAUUCCAGGUGUAGCGGUGAAAUGCGUAGAGAUCUGGAGGAAUACCGGUGGCGAAGGCGGCCCCCUGGACGAAGACUGACGCUCAGGUGCGAAAGCGUGGGGAGCAAACAGGAUUAGAUACCCUGGUAGUCCACGCCGUAAACGAUGUCGACUUGGAGGUUGUGCCCUUGAGGCGUGGCUUCCGGAGCUAACGCGUUAAGUCGACCGCCUGGGGAGUACGGCCGCAAGGUUAAAACUCAAAUGAAUUGACGGGGGCCCGCACAAGCGGUGGAGCAUGUGGUUUAAUUCGAUGCAACGCGAAGAACCUUACCUGGUCUUGACAUCCACGGAAGUUUUCAGAGAUGAGAAUGUGCCUUCGGGAACCGUGAGACAGGUGCUGCAUGGCUGUCGUCAGCUCGUGUUGUGAAAUGUUGGGUUAAGUCCCGCAACGAGCGCAACCCUUAUCCUUUGUUGCCAGCGGUCCGGCCGGGAACUCAAAGGAGACUGCCAGUGAUAAACUGGAGGAAGGUGGGGAUGACGUCAAGUCAUCAUGGCCCUUUCGACCAGGGCUACACACGUGCUACAAUGGCGCAUACAAAGAGAAGCGACCUCGCGAGAGCAAGCGGACCUCAUAAAGUGCGUCGUAGUCCGGAUUGGAGUCUGCAGCUCGACUCCCUGAAGUCGGAAUCGCUAGUAAUCGUGGAUCAGAAUGCCACGGUGAAUACGUUCCCGGGACUUGUAC